AACGUAGGAGACAAACGUUAUCCGGAGUUACUGGGCGUAAAGGGCGUGUAGGUGGUUUCGUAAGUCUGGCGUGAAAUAUCUCGGCUUAACCGAGGCAGGUCGUCGGAUACUGCGGGACUAGAGGACGGUAGAGGCGUGUGGAAUUCCGGGUGUAGUGGUGAAAUGCGUAGAGAUCCGGAGGAACACCAGUGGCGAAGGCGACUCACUGGUCCAUUACUGACGCUGAGGUGCGAAAGCGUGGGGAGCAAACAGG
RNAcentral lists this ribosomal RNA (253 nucleotides) under uncultured bacterium. RNAcentral's name for it is "partial 16S ribosomal RNA". It matches the Rfam family "Bacterial small subunit ribosomal RNA", at positions 524 to 776 of the family's 1533-position model. The record is from RNAcentral.